AUGACUAGCGCAGGAGUUGCUGGGAUGAUGUUUCAGUGUGUGUUUGAAGGAAGCCUGUCGAUGAGGGACACUGAAAUUGAGCGAAGGCCUUACCAUAAGAACUGCAGUUGUGCUCUGCACAAGUCCAAGGGGGGUGCUUGCUCCAAUGCUUGUCAAAGGAACAUUUCCUUUCCCAAGAAACAUUCAUGGAGUGAUGGUUCCUUGUGCAUGCAGGCAACAGCUUCUUCCAAAUUCUCUUCUUCUCUCAUAGACAACAUCUCCCUGUCCACUUCCACAUCCACAGGAAACAGAGGAAGUGUCAGUGGUGUUCAAAAUCCGGCCUCAUCACAUAGACAAUAG
RNAcentral lists this long non-coding RNA (339 nucleotides) under Prunus dulcis (almond). RNAcentral's name for it is "sRNA ncRNA". Lineage: Eukaryota; Viridiplantae; Streptophyta; Magnoliopsida; Rosales; Rosaceae. The record is from RNAcentral.